AUGCAGGGGUCGGGGGUCCAAAGAAGGGGUCGGGGGACCAGAAGAAGGCUGGGGGUCCAAGGAAGGGGUCGGGGGUCCCGCUCCCCUGGCCGGGCUCCCACCUGCUGCAGCUGCUGCUGGUUGACCUGGGGCUCACGCCGGGGUCCCCCCUCCUCGCCCCCCGCCUCCUCCUCCCCCCGCGGCCCCUCGCGCUCCCGGCCCAGGCGCUCGCGGAUGAGGGGCUCCCCGCGCAGGAUGUGGCACAGGAUGGCCAGCAUGGACUCGGCCAUGCGGCCGCCGUACACCUUCAGAGGCCGCCGGUUCCACAGCUGCUUGAUGCAGGUGAAGGCUGCCUGCGGGGGGGUCGAUGGGAUGAGGGUUACGGGGGGGGCAGGCGGACCCCUGAGUGAGCAGCGAGGAUGCUUCGCUCUGACCACACGUCUCCGUGUGCUCGUGGAGAUGUCCCCAAGUCCUCGUGGUCCCCAGUGUCCCCUUCCAUGUGUCCCCAAGUCCUCGUGGUCCCCAGUGUCCCCUUCUAUGUGUCCCCAAGUCCUCGUGGUCCCCAAUGUCCCCAUCCACGUGUCCCCAAGUCCUCAUGGGCCCAAAUGUCCCCUCCGCAAGUCUUCAUGGUCCCCAAUGUCCCCUCCACGUGCCCCCAAGUCCUUGUGGUCCCCAGUGUCCCCUCCAUGUGUCCCCAAAUCCUUGUAGUCCCCAAUGUCCCCUCCACAUGUCCCCAAGUCCUCAUGGUCCCCAGUGUCCCCUCCACGUGUCCCCAGGUCCUUGUGGUUCUUAAUAUCCCUUCCAGGAGCCCUCAAGCCCCCCACAGGAUCCCACAAAACCCUUUGGACCACACUCCAAUGUCCCACAGAAGCCCCCCAAGCCCCCCAAAGGACCCCUCCAAUAUCCCACAGGACCCCCCACGUUCCUACAGGACCCCUCUAAUAUCCCACAGCAGCCCCCCAAAGCUCCCCUGACCCCCUUGGACUCCCCCAAUUCCCCCAGUAGCCCCCAAACUCCCACAGGACCCCCACAUCCCCAUAGGACCCCUCCAAUACCCUAUAAGACCUUCCCAAACCCCCUUAGACCCCUCCAAACCCUCACAGGACCCCUUCAACUCCCCCCCCAACCCCCCAGACCUUCUGGGUGACGACGAGGAAGCGGAGGGCGCUGAAGUGGGGCUGCCCGUGGCCGGGGGCUUUGGCAGGGAGGGCGUGGGGGGAUUCGAGCACAGUGCUGGGGUUCACCAUCUUCUCCACCAGCAUCAGCCAGGCGUCCAGGAACUCCCCGGUGCCGUCGGGGAGCUCGGGAUGCUCCAAACCUUCCGCCACCGGCACCUUGCCCCCCAUGGAGAGCGCCCAGUUGAACGUCCUGGGGAAUGACAGAUAUCGGGGGAGGGGUGGGAGGUGGGGGGGGGGGGGGGGGGGGGCUCACUCGAAGAGAGCGUUGUGGCCGCCGGAGCAGAGGAACUUCUGCAGCAUGAGGUGGUAGGGGAACUUGCGCUCGUCGAAGAGCAUCGGGGACGUGAAGCCCACCGAGCAGAUGAAGAACGUCAGCCUGGGGGGGGGGGGGGAAGUGGGGGGGGGGGAGGACACACGGGAUGAAGCUCUGGCCCCCCCCCCCCCCCCCCCCCCCCCCCCCCCCCCCCAUAGCACUGUUCCCCGUCGGUUCCACCCUACACAAAUCCCAUUUUUUCCCCUUGACUCUCCCA
Molecule: long non-coding RNA, 1687 nt
Filed under: Phasianus colchicus (ring-necked pheasant)
Lineage: Eukaryota; Metazoa; Chordata; Aves; Galliformes; Phasianidae
Description: lncRNA (ENSPCLG00000013611.1)
Source: RNAcentral